GGGCGGUUCGCAUAGCGGCUAUUGCAUCUGGCUGUAGACCAGACGUCUUCUGACUUCGGGGGUUCGAGUCCCUCACCGCCCA
This 82-nucleotide transfer RNA is filed under the name Candidatus Spechtbacteria bacterium RIFCSPHIGHO2_02_FULL_43_15b. RNAcentral describes it as "tRNA-Tyr". It matches the Rfam family "tRNA". From Rfam's summary of the family: Transfer RNA (tRNA) molecules are approximately 80 nucleotides in length. Their secondary structure includes four short double-helical elements and three loops (D, anti-codon, and T loops). Lineage: Bacteria; Candidatus Spechtiibacteriota. The record is from RNAcentral.